Molecule: ribosomal RNA, 459 nt
Filed under: uncultured bacterium
Lineage: Bacteria
Description: partial 16S ribosomal RNA
Rfam family: Bacterial small subunit ribosomal RNA
Source: RNAcentral
CCUACGGGGGGCAGCAGUGAGGAAUAUUGGUCAAUGGUCGGGAGACUGAACCAGCCAAGCCGCGUGAGGGAUGAAGGUACAGAGUAUCGUAAACCUCUUUUGUCAGGGAACAAAGGCGGGGACGCGUCCCCGGAUGAGUGUACCUGAAGAAAAAGCAUCGGCUAACACCGUGCCAGCAGCCGCGGUAAUACGGAGAAUGCGAACGUUAUCCGGUUUUAUUGGGGUAAAGGGGUGCGAAGGCGGUCUGUUAAGUUCGCGGUAAAAGCCCGGGGCUCAACCCGGGCCCGCCGUUGAAACUGGCAGUCUCGAGUUGGAGAGAAGUAUGCGGAAUGCGCGGUGUAGCGGUGAAAUGCAUAGAUAUCGCGCAGAACUCCGAUUGCGAAGGCAGCAUGCCGGCUCCACACUGACGCUGAGGCACGAAAGCGUGGGUAUCGAACAGGAUUAGAUACCCCAGUAGUC